GUGCUUACUUCUACUGCACAUAUACUAAAAUAGGACCAUUCAGAGAGGAGGAGCAUGGCCCCUGAGCAAGCAUGAUGCACACAUUCAUUAAGCCUUGCAUAUUUAA
Molecule: small nuclear RNA, 106 nt
Organism: Mastomys coucha (southern multimammate mouse)
Lineage: Eukaryota; Metazoa; Chordata; Mammalia; Rodentia; Muridae
Source: RefSeq, a predicted model, not a curated record